GGUGCUGUGGCUUAGUUGGUCAAAGCACCUGUCUUGUAAACAGGAGAACCUGGGUUCAAUUCCGAUCAGUGCCU
This is a non-coding RNA of Eleginops maclovinus (Patagonian blennie), 74 nucleotides long. Lineage: Eukaryota; Metazoa; Chordata; Actinopteri; Perciformes; Eleginopidae. The record is from the annotation of a RefSeq genome assembly.